Molecule: ribosomal RNA, 253 nt
Filed under: uncultured bacterium
Lineage: Bacteria
Description: partial 16S ribosomal RNA
Rfam family: Bacterial small subunit ribosomal RNA
Source: RNAcentral
UACGAAGGGGGCGAGCGUUGUUCGGAUUUACUGGGCGUAAAGGGCGCGUAGGCGGCGGGUCAAGUCGAGUGUGAAAGCCCCGGGCUCAACCUGGGAGGUGCGCUCGAGACUGGUCUGCUAGAGUUCGGGAGAGGAGCGUGGAAUUCCCAGUGUAGAGGUGAAAUUCGUAGAUAUUGGGAAGAACACCGGUGGCGAAGGCGGCGCUCUGGACCGAGACUGACGCUGAGGAGCGAAAGCCAGGGGAGCAAACGGG